This 26-nucleotide non-coding RNA is filed under the name Homo sapiens (human). The record is from RNAcentral. Lineage: Eukaryota; Metazoa; Chordata; Mammalia; Primates; Hominidae.
UGCCUGGCCCCCCACAUCUGGCUGAU